CCUACGGGUUGCAGCAGUGGGGAAUAUUGCACAAUGGGCGCAAGCCUGAUGCAGCCAUGCCGCGUGUAUGAAGAAGGCCUUCGGGUUGUAAAGUACUUUCAGCGGGGAUGAAGGGAGUAAAGUUAAUACCUUUGCUCAUUGACGUUACCCGCAGAAGAAGCACCGGCUAACUCCGUGCCAGCAGCCGCGGUAAUACGGAGGGUGCAAGCGUUAAUCGGAAUUACUGGGCGUAAAGCGCACGCAGGCGGUUUGUUAAGUCAGAUGUGAAAUCCCCGGGCUCAACCUGGGAACUGCAUUCGAAACUGGCAGGCUAGAGUCUUGUAGAGGGGGGUAGAAUUCCAGGUGUAGCGGUGAAAUGCGUAGAGAUCUGGAGGAAUACCGGUGGCGAAGGCGGCCCCCUGGACAAAGACUGACGCUCAGGCGCGAAAGCGUGGGGAGCAAACAGGAUUAGAUACCCGCGUAGUC
This 465-nucleotide ribosomal RNA is filed under the name uncultured bacterium. RNAcentral's name for it is "bacterial SSU rRNA". It matches the Rfam family "Bacterial small subunit ribosomal RNA", at positions 338 to 795 of the family's 1533-position model. The record is from RNAcentral.